GACGAACGCUGGCGGCGUGCUUAACACAUGCAAGUCGAACGGAAAGGCCCUGCUUUUGUGGGGUGCUCGAGUGGCGAACGGGUGAGUAACACGUGAGUAACCUGCCCUUGACUUUGGGAUAACUUCAGGAAACUGGGGCUAAUACCGGAUAGGAGCUCCUGCUGCAUGGUGAGGGUUGGAAAGUUUCGGCGGUUGGGGAUGGACUCGCGGCUUAUCAGCUUGUUGGUGGGGUAGUGGCUUACCAAGGCUUUGACGGGUAGCCGGCCUGAGAAGGUGACCGGCCACAUUGGGACUGAGAUACGGCCCAGACUCCUACGGGAGGCAGCAGUGGGGAAUAUUGCACAAUGGGCGGAAGCCUGAUGCAGCAACGCCGCGUGCGGGAUGACGGCCUUCGGGUUGUAAACCGCUUUCGCCUGUGACGAAGCGUGAGUGACGGUAAUGGGUAAAGAAGCACCGGCUAACUACGUG
RNAcentral lists this ribosomal RNA (468 nucleotides) under uncultured bacterium. RNAcentral describes it as "partial 16S ribosomal RNA". It matches the Rfam family "Bacterial small subunit ribosomal RNA", at positions 28 to 507 of the family's 1533-position model. The record is from RNAcentral.